Passer domesticus (house sparrow) is the source of this 472-nucleotide long non-coding RNA. RefSeq lists it as uncharacterized. The record is from RefSeq and is a predicted model, not a curated record. NCBI's taxonomy places the organism in Eukaryota, Metazoa, Chordata, Aves, Passeriformes, Passeridae. The transcript is spliced from 3 exons.
UGGAUAUUUUCAAAAGCUCAGCUGGGAGUUAAUCAACUCUUAUUGUUUUUCGACAGGAGCUGGAUGCUUAACUUGCAUCCAGUGAGUCAUCCCCUGGCUUGUCACCCACACACAAACAGCCCCACAGAGGGUGCACAGAACUUUUCAGACGCGCUGGAAAUGACCGGCCAUUAAAAGAGUGUGAGCUGAACUGCAUCGGGUCAGAGAGUGACUGCAGAUGUCAUCAUGCCUGAAGAGACACUCUGGGAGUGAAGCCCUUACCCAACCUCCUUUACAAAUGUCACUCUGGAGUGCCAGGGCCUUGGGAGGCAGAAAGCCCAGCCAAAACUUGCCUAUGUAUCUCUCUUCCUUGUCCAAUCACAGAAGGAAAGUGAGACUUGCCCAAGAAAAUCAGAAUUCUAGCAAGCUGAAAGAUGUUCUUUUUAAAGAUUUCAUCCACCAUUUCAAGUUUCUGUCAUGCUCAGGCUUUGUG